UACCAGCUCUCCGAGUGGUAGGGAUGAUUAUUGGGCUUAAAGCGUCCGUAGGCGGCUUAGCAAGUCUCCUGUUAAAUUCAGCGACCUAAUCGUUGAGCCGCGGGAGAUACUACUAGGCUAGGAGGCGGGAGAGGUCAACGGUACUUCCGGGGUAGGGGUGAAAUCCUAUAAUCCCGGGAGGACCACCAGUGGCGAAGGCUGUUGACUAGAACGCGCUCGACGGUGAGGGACGAAAGCUGGGGGAGCGAACCGGAUUAGAUACCCGGGUAGUCCCAGCUGUAAACGAUGCGAGCUAGGUGUUGGGGUGGCUACGUGCCACUUCAGUGCCGCAGGGAAGCCAUUAAGCUCGCCGCCUGGGGAGUACGGCCGCAAGGCUAGAAACUUAAAGGAAUUGGGCGGGGGAGCACCACAAGGCGUGAAGCUUGCGGUUC
Molecule: ribosomal RNA, 431 nt
Filed under: uncultured archaeon
Lineage: Archaea
Description: bacterial SSU rRNA
Rfam family: Archaeal small subunit ribosomal RNA
Source: RNAcentral